RNAcentral lists this unclassified non-coding RNA (162 nucleotides) under uncultured Capronia. Its description in RNAcentral is "sequence contains ITS2". Lineage: Eukaryota; Fungi; Ascomycota; Eurotiomycetes; Chaetothyriales; Herpotrichiellaceae. The record is from RNAcentral.
UCCUCCCUCAAACCCCGGGUUUGGUGUUGGACCCAAGUUGUGUGAACAACUGGUCUUAAAGACAAUGACGGCGUCCGUGGGACCCUCGGUGCAACGAGCUUUUAGGAGCACGCGUCGAGUUUCAAGGACCUUCCGGGCCGGUCUCCUUUACCAUUUUUACAA